RNAcentral lists this long non-coding RNA (241 nucleotides) under Elaeis guineensis (African oil palm). RNAcentral describes it as "long non-coding RNA (EGUI_LNC049795)". Lineage: Eukaryota; Viridiplantae; Streptophyta; Magnoliopsida; Arecales; Arecaceae. The record is from RNAcentral.
AGACCCUAAAGAUCUUGGAGAAAUCAGGCGGAACAAGGGAUGAGGGGUUGUGGGAGACCAAAUCAGAGGAAUGCGACAGAAGAAAAUGGAGGAGAAAAGGCCCCUAAAUGGCAAGAAGAAACACAAAGGUUCCGGGACUAACCUAGAUCACUCUGAAGGAUGCAGAGGGACGAGGACAGGGACGACUCGAAGGACACCUAGGGCCAAGGAAGACGCCAAGGAGGGUCAGGGCUCUCGAAGA